UACGAAGGGGGCUAGCGUUGCUCGGAUUUACUGGGCGUAAAGGGCGCGUAGGCGGACGACCAAGUUGGGGGUGAAAGCCCGGGGCUCAACCUCGGAAUUGCCUUCAAAACUGGUCGUCUAGAGUUUGGGAGAGGUGUGUGGAACUCCGAGUGUAGAGGUGAAAUUCGUAGAUAUUCGGAAGAACACCAGUGGCGAAGGCGACACACUGGCCCAAUACUGACGCUGAGGCGCGAAAGCCAGGGGAGCGAACGGG
RNAcentral lists this ribosomal RNA (253 nucleotides) under uncultured bacterium. RNAcentral describes it as "partial 16S ribosomal RNA". It matches the Rfam family "Bacterial small subunit ribosomal RNA", at positions 524 to 776 of the family's 1533-position model. The record is from RNAcentral.